This 202-nucleotide long non-coding RNA is filed under the name Nicotiana benthamiana. RNAcentral describes it as "long non-coding RNA (NBEN_LNC000078)". Lineage: Eukaryota; Viridiplantae; Streptophyta; Magnoliopsida; Solanales; Solanaceae. The record is from RNAcentral.
UCGAAUCCGAGGAAGGGCUUUUUUUUCCGGUAUGCCGCUCCUCCAGCAAGGAGCGAGAGAACAAAUUCAGACCUAUUAUGUCACCUUUCUUGUUUAGGGGCCUUCUCUCUCUUAUUGCAACCUUUCUGGGGCAUUUCGCUGUUAGACUAAUGCCAAUUCGAAUAACUGGUAAGUGUCUCAUGCUCUUCCUUUUAGUGAUUCU